GAUGAACGCUGGCGGCGUGCCUAGUACAUGCAAGUCGAGCGAACGGACGAGAAGCUUGCUUCUCUGAUGUUAGCGGCGGACGGGUGAGUAACACGUGGAUAACCUACCUAUAAGACUGGGAUAACUUCGGGAAACCGGAGCUAGUACCGGAUAAUAUUUUGAACCGCAUGGUUCAAAAGUGAAAGACGGUCUUGCUGUCACUUAUAGAUGGAUCCGCGCUGCAUUAGCUAGUUGGUAAGGUAACGGCUUACCAAGGCAACGAUGCAUAGCCGACCUGAGAGGGUGAUCGGCCACACUGGAACUGAGACACGGUCCAGACUCCUACGGGAGGCAGCAGUAGGGAAUCUUCCGCAAUGGGCGAAAGCCUGACGGAGCAACGCCGCGUGAGUGAUGAAGGUCUUCGGAUCGUAAAACUCUGUUAUUAGGGAAGAACAUAUGUGUAAGUAACUGUGCACAUCUUGACGGUACCUAAUCAGAAAGCCACGGCUAACUACGUG
RNAcentral lists this ribosomal RNA (497 nucleotides) under uncultured bacterium. Its description in RNAcentral is "partial 16S ribosomal RNA". It matches the Rfam family "Bacterial small subunit ribosomal RNA", at positions 28 to 507 of the family's 1533-position model. The record is from RNAcentral.